Molecule: long non-coding RNA, 665 nt
Filed under: Sinocyclocheilus anshuiensis
Lineage: Eukaryota; Metazoa; Chordata; Actinopteri; Cypriniformes; Cyprinidae
Description: lncRNA (ENSSANG00000040263.1)
Source: RNAcentral
CUCAUUUGUUCCGUGUCUAACCACCAAGUCAAGCAUGUGUGAGUUUAUCAGGGUAAUUUGUGCCCUGGGAAAUGUGAUUCAACACAUUUGUCUCCUUUUCCUUUACAUAAACACGUAUAAUUUCUUUUUUAAUUUGUCAGUCACUCUUGGUAGAUCAGCCUAACCAAAAUCAGUCAUGUUUUCCCAAGUUUUCAGAAGCACACGCAGGAGAUUGAUGCCGCAGAAACACAUGCAGUACCAUGUCCUACCACGUGAGGGCGAGGGUCAUAACAGUGCCAUUUGUUUGGUCUGAGACUCUGGUUGUUCUGUUCAAAGAGACACAUGGGCUGCCUUCAUAUCCACAAAGCUGGAGACAGAGUCUUUCUGACCCGUAUCCUCCCUGCGCUGGGCCUCAGCCACCUGUGGUGCAGCUAGACCAUCCAUCUUUCCCCUAUACACACACACACACACACACACACACACACACACACAUGCUGCUAUGGGCUGUGCCCCGUAGUCAUUGCGUAAGCAUCCUGACAUCUUAAUGUAAGAGUUAAAGGAAUAGUCUCUCAAAAAUAAAAAUUGUCAUAAUUUACUCACCUUCAUGUAGUUCCAAAACUGUAUGACUUUCUAUCUUUCGUGGAACAAAUAUAGAAAAUAUAGAAAAAAAAUCUUUACACUGCCCU